Molecule: unclassified non-coding RNA, 302 nt
Filed under: plant metagenome
Description: partial contains small subunit ribosomal RNA, internal transcribed spacer 1, and 5.8S ribosomal RNA
Source: RNAcentral
UUUCCGUAGGUGAACCUGCGGAAGGAUCAUUAUUGAGUGAACUUGGUGUGGUUGUAGCUGGCCCUCUCGUCGGGGGCAUGUGCACACCCGCCAUCUUUAUCUCUCCACCUGUGCACAUCUUGUAGACCUGGAUAGACUUUCCGAGGCAACUCGGUCGGGAGGACUGCUGUGCGUCACUGCCGGCUUUCCUUGCAUAUCUAGGCCUAUGUUUUCAUAUACCCCAUAGUAUGUAACAGAAUGUAUCAUUGGGCCUCGUGCCUAUAAACUAUAUACAACUUUCAGCAACGGAUCUCUUGGCUCUC